UGAAAAGUGCGGGGAUGAGGUGUGGGUAGCGGAGAAAUUCCAAUCGAACUUGGAGAUAGCUGGUUCUCUCCGAAAUAGCUUUAGGGCUAGCCUCGAGGUAAAGAGUCAUGGAGGUAGAGCACUGUUUGGACUAGGGGCCCUUCUCGGGUUACCGAAUUCAGAUAAACUCCGAAUGCCAUGUACUUAUACUCGGGAGUCAGACUGCGAGUGAUAAGAUCCGUAGUCGAAAGGGAAACAGCCCAGACCACCAGUUAAGGUCCCCAAAUAUAUGUUAAGUGGAAAAGGAUGUGGGGUUGCUUAGACAACCAGGAUGUUGGCUUAGAAGCAGCCACCAUUGAAAGAGUGCGUAAUAGCUCACUGGUCGAGUGACCCCGCGCCGAAAAUGUACCGGGGCUAAACAUAUUACCGAAACUGUGGAUGAACCUCUUUAGAGGUUCGUGGUAGGAGAGCGUUCUAAGGGCGGUGAAGUCAGACCGGAAGGACUGGUGGAGCGCUUAGAAGUGAGAAUGCCGGUAUGAGUAGCGAAAGAAGGGUGAGAAUCCCUUCCACCGAAUAUCUAAGGUUUCCUGAGGAAGGCUCGUCCGCUCAGGGUUAGUCGGGACCUAAGCCGAGGCCGAUAGGCGUAGGCGAUGGACAACAGGUAGAGAUUCCUGUACCAGUGCUAAUUGUUUAACCGAUGGGGUGACACAGAAGGAUAGGGAAUCGCACGAAUGGAAAUGUGCGUCCAAGCAGUGAGUGUGAG
This 742-nucleotide ribosomal RNA is filed under the name Listeria monocytogenes. RNAcentral describes it as "partial 23S ribosomal RNA". It matches the Rfam family "Bacterial large subunit ribosomal RNA", at positions 790 to 1529 of the family's 2925-position model. Lineage: Bacteria; Bacillati; Bacillota; Bacilli; Caryophanales; Listeriaceae. The record is from RNAcentral.